RNAcentral lists this ribosomal RNA (497 nucleotides) under uncultured bacterium. RNAcentral's name for it is "partial 16S ribosomal RNA". It matches the Rfam family "Bacterial small subunit ribosomal RNA", at positions 28 to 507 of the family's 1533-position model. The record is from RNAcentral.
GAUGAACGCUGGCGGCGUGCCUAAUACAUGCAAGUCGAGCGAACAGACGAGGAGCUUGCUCCUCUGACGUUAGCGGCGGACGGGUGAGUAACACGUGGAUAACCUACCUAUAAGACUGGGAUAACUUCGGGAAACCGGAGCUAAUACCGGAUAAUAUAUUGAACCGCAUGGUUCAAUAGUGAAAGACGGUUUUGCUGUCACUUAUCGAUGGAUCCGCGCCGCAUUAGCUAGUUGGUAAGGUAACGGCUUACCAAGGCAACGAUGCGUAGCCGACCUCAGAGGGUGAUAGGCCACACUGGAGCUGAGACACGGUCCAGACUCCUACGGGAGGCAGCAGUAGGGAAUCGUCCGCAGUGGGCGGAAGCCUGACGGAGCAGCGGCGCGUGAGUUAUGAAGGUCUUCGGAGCGGAAAACUGGGUUAUGAGGGAAGAACAAAUGUGUAAGUAACUAUGGACGUCGUGACGGUACCUAAUCAGAAAGCCACGGCUAACUACGUG